CUACAGUUUUGCAACAUGCAGGUCACACUGUUACUCAGUUCUUGUCACACACACAAACAGGCAAGUAGAUGUAGCAAGCAGUUGUUUAAUCUCAUGAUGAUGCUCAAGUGCACAAAUGCAGAUACCUCACACAGCAAACAUCAGAUAAUAUUUAAUCAUAUAUAUAUAUAUAUAUGACAAUGGCUAUAAUGUAAAACACAGAAUCCCACAUGUGCAGGUUGUCCUGUGCAUUUUGAAGUGGGUAGCAGCAGUCGAGUCUGAGAAAGCAGCUCUACAUGCUUCUCCAAUGUGAUCAUAUGCCUGCAUGGAACAGUGUUCAGCGAUAGCUAAUGCCAUGGUAGCCUCAGCCUUUUUUUGCAGAGUAAUUGUUUUGAACCAUAAAUGGCAGCUUGUUUUGGGUGGAACUGUUAUCAGGCUUUGCCUUUUGAGUAUGUUUUUGAGUUGUUGUGUUUUUUUUACAUCAAAGUUUGGUGUAGAAAUCAGCCUUACAAUACAGGCAGUAUGCCUGUGUAUCGUCUCCAAUAAACGGCUUCACCCAGCCUUUGAAUUCAGGGUUUGAUUCCCCGCGCCAAAACGGCCCAAUCACAGCUGUGUAUGCAAACCAAAUGAUGACCCGUAGCAGGAUUUUUAAACAGUAAAAAAAAGAAAAAGUUAACUAAAUGCAACGGGGGAAAAAAAGGUUUCCUAAUCAACUUGAAAAAAAUAAAUGGAGCCUAACGAGAUUGAGAAGGUUCAGGAGACAAUAGAGACAGAGACAGUGGCCGGGUCUUCUGAAGACCACGAGGAAGGAAAUGCCUGGCCGCAUCUCAAAGAACACUUCCGCUUCAAGCAGAGAGGAGACAAAAGAACACUUCCGCUUCAAGCAGAGAGGAGACAAAAGAACACUUCCGCUUCAAGCAGAGAGGAGGAGACAGUGUAACUAUGGAAUGGAAAGAUGGUGGCUGCCUACAAAAACUCUGCUUCAAAUUUGAGGAAACAUGUAAUGGUACAAAAAAGCCAGGCAGUCGAGUCAGCAGACCGAGACUCAGAUGCUGAAGAGCCAGCAGAGCAGGUUGAAUGGCAAGACACCUAAUUCCAUCCUGGAAAAUGACAGUGGCCUAGAAUAAUCAACUCCCUCAGCAUCAACGGAGUGCACGUCACCUGCUGAACCUAAAUGCAACAGAUUCUGCGUUGGCAGAAACACAGUGAUGGCUACAAAAGGUUGUCCAGAUCAUCUUUUGCCAAAUGCCAUGUGGAGUAAAGGGGACGGUCAACCUUAACUGCUGAAGUUGUAGAGAAUAAGCGCAAACUGCAGUUGAUCCGUCCGAAUCAAAACGAGUUGGAACUCAACUUACGUGACUGGAGAGGAUCACACAUAUAAAGAGUGUGACAAGAAUUAAAAGUGAAAAUGCGAGUAGCAAUUCUUUGAAUCAACUUAAAUAUUUUCCUAUUACACUAAUAUAUUGUCAAUGAAAUGUUAGAAUUAGAGGUAUUACAUUCCCCUUGUCUUUCAGGCUGAACCUGGCAGAAAUGUCCUUCUUGAAUGAGUACUGCGAAGUGAUGAAAGCCUUUGGUCUCAGCUUUGAACCUUCUACAGUCUGAGACCAACAUGCAUAUGGGGUGGCUGCUACCAGUGAUCUUCUUACUAAAAAACUAAACUUCAAAAGGUCGGGAAGCAUCUUGCCAAAUGUGCCUACCACUUAUCAGAGCCAGUCAGAAUGGCAAAUUCAGAGAGAAGUCAUGCGAGUUAAGUGUUCGAUAGGUUGUUCCUCAAAUAAUAUGGCUUUUGAACAUUUGUAUAUGUGAAGUUGAAGAGUUUAUAUUAAAAUCAGCUGUGGUGGA
This is a long non-coding RNA of Oncorhynchus gorbuscha (pink salmon), 1821 nucleotides long. RefSeq lists it as uncharacterized. The transcript has 2 exons. The record is from RefSeq and is a predicted model, not a curated record. Lineage: Eukaryota; Metazoa; Chordata; Actinopteri; Salmoniformes; Salmonidae.